GACGAACGCUGGCGGCGUGCUUAACACAUGCAAGUCGAACGGAAAGGCCCUGCUUUUGUGGGGUGCUCGAGUGGCGAACGGGUGAGUAACACGUGAGUAACCUGCCCUUGACUUUGGGAUAACUUCAGGAAACUGGGGCUAAUACCGGAUAGGAGCUCCUGCUGCAUGGUGGGGGUUGGAAAGUUUCGGCGGUUGGGGAUGGACUCGCGGCUUAUCAGCUUGUUGGUGGGGUAGUGGCUUACCAAGGCUUUGACGGGUAGCCGGCCUGAGAGGGUGACCGGCCAACUUGGGACUGAGAUACGGCCCAGACUCCUACCGGAGGCAGCAGUGGGGGAUAUUGCCCAAUGGGCGGAAGCCUGAUGCCGCCACGCCGGGGUCGGGAUGACGGCCUUUGGGUUGUAAACCGCUUUCGCCUGUGACGAAGCGUGAGUGACGGUAAUUGGUAAAGAAGCACCGGCUAACUACGUG
This 468-nucleotide ribosomal RNA is filed under the name uncultured bacterium. Its description in RNAcentral is "partial 16S ribosomal RNA". It matches the Rfam family "Bacterial small subunit ribosomal RNA", at positions 28 to 507 of the family's 1533-position model. The record is from RNAcentral.